GAUGAAGAACGCAGCGAAAUGCGAUACGUAGUGUGAAUUGCAGAAUUCAGUGAAUCAUCGAAUCUUUGAACGCACAUUGCACCUCCCGGUAUUCCGGGAGGUAUGCCUGUUCGAGCGUCAUUUGUACCCUCAAGCUCUGCUUGGUGUUGGGUGUUUGUUCCGCCUCUGUGUGUGAACUCGCCUCAAAACAAUUGGCAGCCGGCGUACUUGUUUCGGAGCGCAGCACAUUUUGCGAUCCAGAUCAACGUACAGCGGCAUCCAAGAAGCCUUAUUUAACGCUCUUGACCUCGGAUCAGGUAGGGAUACCCGCUGAACUUAAGCAUAUCAAUAAGCGGAGGA
Molecule: unclassified non-coding RNA, 339 nt
Filed under: soil metagenome
Description: partial contains 5.8S ribosomal RNA, internal transcribed spacer 2, and large subunit ribosomal RNA
Rfam family: 5.8S ribosomal RNA (bases 1-120)
Source: RNAcentral